RNAcentral lists this ribosomal RNA (409 nucleotides) under uncultured bacterium. RNAcentral's name for it is "bacterial SSU rRNA". It matches the Rfam family "Bacterial small subunit ribosomal RNA", at positions 64 to 507 of the family's 1533-position model. The record is from RNAcentral.
GCGCGGGCGGGCUUCGGUUCGUCAGCGGCGGACGGGUGAGUAACACGUGAGUGACCAACCCUCCAGUGGGGGAUACCCGGCGGAAACGCUGGUUAAUCCCGCAUACGUUCCCUUCGGGGAGGAAAGCGGCAACGCGCUGGUGGACGGGCUCGCGGCUGAUUAGCUAGUUGGUGAGGUAAGAGCCCACCAAGGCCACGAUCAGUAGCUGGUCUGAGAGGAUGAUCAGCCACACUGGGAUUGAGAACGGCCCAGACUCCUACGGGGGGCAGCAGUGAGGAAUCUUCGUCAAUGGGCAAGCGCCUGAACGAGCAACGCCGCGUGGAGGAUUGACGCCCUUCGGGGUGUAAACUCCUUUUCUGGGGGACGAGACAGGACGGUACCCCAGGAAGAAGUCUCGGCUAACUACGUG